RNAcentral lists this small RNA (1185 nucleotides) under Pan troglodytes (chimpanzee). Its description in RNAcentral is "processed transcript". The record is from RNAcentral. Lineage: Eukaryota; Metazoa; Chordata; Mammalia; Primates; Hominidae.
GAGGGGUCCUAGGCGGGCAGGACAGUCGGACCGAACCGCCGGGCUGGUGCCGCGAGCCUAGGCUGUCACCUUCGUCCCGCCUCAGGCGAGGGGUUCAGCGCCUGCCCCGAAGAUAACACAGGGGUCCCCUUCUGUCCCGGCGGCCCGCGAGAGCCAAGGCUGCAGGCUGGAGUGCAAUGGCGCGAUCUUCACUCACUGCAGCCUCCGCCUCCCAGGUUCAAGCGAUUCUCCUGCCUCAGCCUCCCAAGUAGCUGGGAUUACAGUCCCCCAUUUGUGCUUCCUGUUUGGUGUACCUCUCUGGAAGCCAGCAGCAUGGAGCCCAUUACAUUCCACAGAGGGCCUCAGGUACCCCCUCUGGGAGGCCUGCAGCCUGUCACAGCAUGCUGAGCCAAAGCCACCUGCCCAGGUUCCCAAAUCUUGGAAGCACUGGAUCAUGGAACCAUAGAAUCUCGGUGAUAUGAAAUCCAGACUUGGAGGUGGCCUUAGGGGUCACAAUCCAAACCUUCAUCCAGCCCAGGCAGCCCCUCUGCAGGCUCCGUGAACACUCUGGCAACUGGGGAGUCAUCUGUAGCCCCCUCAGCUUCCACUACUAAGCCAUCUGCUCCAGGGCACUGGGGGAUCCUGCAGGGGUUUUCUGCUUGAAGAGCCACUUCCUGUUUGGGGCUGAGCACUUCCUUCAGCUCUCCCAGUGAAGUGAUAUCACUGCCUCUGUGGACAAGACACCUCCAGGAGCCCAGCUCACAGCCACCGGUACCUUCUUCCAGUUAUAGAGAUGCUACAGCUGGCAUUGACGUGGAAGGUGAUAGAAACGUGAACAGGCCCGCCCUGUGGGGCUGCAACCAUGGAGAGUCUGGACUUUAGAGUCAACAGCCCUGGGUUCAAAUCCUCCCUCCUCCAUGAUUAGCUGUUUGGCCUUGGGUGAAUUACCUAACCUCUUGGGUGCAGGUGCACACGUGUGUGUGUAUGUGUGUGUGUGUGUAUUUAAUACACUUUUUCAAAAGCAGUUUUAGGUUUACAGUAAAAUUGAUUGGAAAGUACAGAGAGUUUCCAUAUACCCUCCUCUGCCUUUCCCCUCCCCAUAGUCUGGCUUAUUCUUUACAUCUUAUAUUAAUAUGGUACAUUUAUUACAACUGAUGAACUAAUAUUGGUUAAUUAUGAUUGACUAAAGUCCAUGUUUGCGCUAUA